RNAcentral lists this unclassified non-coding RNA (376 nucleotides) under soil metagenome. RNAcentral describes it as "partial contains 5.8S ribosomal RNA, internal transcribed spacer 2, and large subunit ribosomal RNA". The stretch from base 1 to 120 matches the Rfam family "5.8S ribosomal RNA", at positions 35 to 154 of the family's 154-position model. The record is from RNAcentral.
GAUGAAGAACGCAGCGAAAUACGAUAAGUAAUGUGAAUUGCAGAAUUCAGUGAAUCAUCGAAUCUUUGAACGCAUCUUGCGCUCCUUGGUAUUCUGAGGAGCAUGCCUGUUUGAGUGUCAUUAAAUUCUCAACUACACUGACUUUGAAUUGGUGUGGCUUGGAUUUGGGGGGAAAAUUGUUGUGGGCUUUUUGUAUAGUCUGCUCCCCUGAAAUUGAUUAGCGGUACCUUUGUGGAACUGUCUACAGGUGUGAUAAUUAUCUACAUCUUAGACAUCUGCUGGAAUGCUGCUUUCUAAACCUUACUUGUAUUGACAAUCUUGACCUCAAAUCAGGUAGGACUACCCGCUGAACUUAAGCAUAUCAAUAAGCGGAGGA